Non-coding RNA from Cinara cedri, 321 nucleotides. Lineage: Eukaryota; Metazoa; Arthropoda; Insecta; Hemiptera; Aphididae. The record is from the annotation of a GenBank genome assembly.
ACAUGCGUUUGCCGUCACCGUCUUACAACCGCGCGACGUAGCGAAUUUAAUUUCAGGCGGAACGAUUUGCUGUCGGUUUUAAUAUUAGAGUGAAUUGACCUAUUGUACAACUUAAAGGUAAGGUUUUUUUUCGAUAUUUUUAUCUCUAAACGAGUCGUAAAUACUCUAAAAUAAUUGUGAUAUUCCGCAAACUUACAUAUCGUUAGAAAUUAAAACAACGUACAAGCACAGAUAAUAUAAUAGUCUUACGUUGAAUUUUUAUAAUGGGCCAAUUCAUUCAAAUAUUAGAACUGACAGCACAAAGUUGUUCCACGGGAACCC